AUUGAACGCUGGCGGCAGGCCUAACACAUGCAAGUCGAACGAGUGGCGGACGGGUGAGUAAUGUCUGGGAAACUGCCUGAUGGAGGGGGAUAACUACUGGAAACGGUAGCUAAUACCGCAUACCAUCAGAUGUGCCCAGAUGGGAUUAGCUUGUUGGUGGGGUAACGGCUCACCAAGGCGACGAUCCCUAGCUGGUCUGAGAGGAUGACCAGACAAAAUGGAAAGGAGACACGGUCCAGACCCCUAGGGGAGGCAGAAGGGGGAAAUAUUGCACAAUGGGCGCAAGCCUGAUGCAGCCAUGCCGCGUGUAUGAAGAAGGCCUUCGGGUUGUAAAGUACUUUCAGCGGGGAGGCGUUACCCGCAGAAGAAGCACCGGCCAACUCCGUGCCAGCAGCCGCGUAAUUC
RNAcentral lists this ribosomal RNA (405 nucleotides) under uncultured bacterium. RNAcentral describes it as "partial 16S ribosomal RNA". It matches the Rfam family "Bacterial small subunit ribosomal RNA", at positions 30 to 526 of the family's 1533-position model. The record is from RNAcentral.